CAGGAUGAACGCUAGCUACAGGCUUAACACAUGCAAGUCGAGGGAAACGAUAGAGAAAGCUUGCUUUUUCUAGGCGUCGACCGGCGCACGGGUGAGUAACGCGUAUCCAACCUGCCCAUCACUUGGGGGAUAACCUUGCGAAAGUAAGACUAAUACCCAAUGAUAUCUCUAGAAGACAUCUGAAAGAGAUUAAAGAUUUAUCGGUGAUGGAUGGGGAUGCGUCUGAUUAGCUUGUUGGCGGGGUAACGGCCCACCAAGGCGACGAUCAGUAGGGGUUCUGAGAGGAAGGUCCCCCACAUUGGAACUGAGACACGGUCCAAACUCCUACGGGAGGCAGCAGUGAGGAAUAUUGGUCAAUGGACGAGAGUCUGAACCAGCCAAGUAGCGUGCAGGAUGACGGCCCUAUGGGUUGUAAACUGCUUUUAUAAGGGAAUAAAGUGAGUCUCGUGAGGCUUUUUGCAUGUACCUUAUGAAUAAGGACCGGCUAAUUCCGUG
This 495-nucleotide ribosomal RNA is filed under the name uncultured bacterium. RNAcentral's name for it is "bacterial SSU rRNA". It matches the Rfam family "Bacterial small subunit ribosomal RNA", at positions 25 to 507 of the family's 1533-position model. The record is from RNAcentral.